GUGGGGAAUUUUGGACAAUGGGCGCAAGCCUGAUCCAGCAAUGCCGCGUGUGUGAAGAAGGCCUUCGGGUUGUAAAGCACUUUUGGCAGGAAAGAAAUAGCGCGUGCUAAUACCAUGCGCGAAUGACGGUACCUGCAGAAUAAGCACCGGCUAACUACGUGCCAGCAGCCGCGGUAAGACGUAGGGUGCAAGCGUUAAUCGGACUUACUGGGCGUAAAGCGUGCGCAGGCGGUUUUGUAAGACAGGUGUGAAAUCCCCGGGCUCAACCUGGGAACUGCACUUGUGACUGCAAGGCUAGAGUGUGUCAGAGGGAGGUGGAAUUCCGCGUGUAGCAGUGAAAUGCGUAGAGAUGCGGAGGAACACCGAUGGCGAAGGCAGCCUCCUGGGAUAACACUGACGCUCAGGCACGAAAGCGUGGGGAGCAAACAGGAUUAGAAACCCGUGUAGUCC
This 450-nucleotide ribosomal RNA is filed under the name uncultured bacterium. RNAcentral describes it as "partial 16S ribosomal RNA". It matches the Rfam family "Bacterial small subunit ribosomal RNA", at positions 354 to 796 of the family's 1533-position model. The record is from RNAcentral.